GACGAACGCUGGCGGCGUGCCUAACACAUGCAAGUCGAACGGGCCCGCCCCUGUUUUUGGGGGUGGGUUGAGUGGCGAACGGGUGAGUAUCACGUGAGUAACCUGCCCCCUGCUCCUGGAUAACUGCUUGAAAGGGCGGCUAAUACGGGGUGUGCCGGCUGGUCCGCAUGGGCCUGGUCGGGAUAGUUUCAUCUUCGGGUGUUUCGGUGGGGGAUGGGCUCGCGGCCUAUCAGCUUGUUGGUGGGGUGAUGGCCCACCAAGGCGGUGACGGGUAGCCGGCCUGGGAGGGUGGGCGGCCACACUGGGACUGAGACACGGCCCAGACUCCUGCGGGAGGCAGCAGUGGGGGGUAUUGCACAAUGGGCGGAAGCCUGAUGCAGCGACGUCGCGUGAGGGAUGGAGGCCUUCGGGUUGUGAACCUCUUUCUCCGGUGGUGAAGGCCCUGUCCGUUGCGGCGGGGUUGACGGUAGCCGGGUAUGAAGCGCCGGCUAACUACGUG
This 499-nucleotide ribosomal RNA is filed under the name uncultured bacterium. RNAcentral describes it as "partial 16S ribosomal RNA". It matches the Rfam family "Bacterial small subunit ribosomal RNA", at positions 28 to 507 of the family's 1533-position model. The record is from RNAcentral.